GAUACGAGAUUAGAGCCAAGACAACAUACAUAGACACAAGCAUGGCGUUUUCAACCACCUAUGGAGCUGUCCUUCUAUAUUUUUGUAUGACACUGUACUUUUCCCUGGUUACAAGUUACACACAAUACGUGACCACUGAUGCAUGUAAAGCUCUCAAUGGAAACUGUGUGGACAGUCGGUUGGUCAGAUGUGCCGGACUGGACUUUAACAUCUGUGGGUCUGAACCGUAUGCUGCUUGCUGCCCAGGAAUAGCCAUUGGCUAGCGGGAUACAUCAGAAUGAUGCGAACUCUUGUCUUUCCUGCUGAGUAGAUGUGGUUAUCAUCAUAAUGAUGUAUGGAGUCAAACAAUAAAGUAUACAUUCUCC
Haliotis rubra (blacklip abalone) is the source of this 365-nucleotide long non-coding RNA. RefSeq lists it as uncharacterized. NCBI's taxonomy places the organism in Eukaryota, Metazoa, Mollusca, Gastropoda, Lepetellida, Haliotidae. The record is from RefSeq and is a predicted model, not a curated record. The transcript is spliced from 2 exons.